AUAUCUUUUGAAAAGGCUGGGCUCGGAACUGUCCAUCCUAGACAAAUGAAGCAAGCAAAGGCUGAGAACCAUAUCGGAGACGCUGUCGUUCCAAGAUAACAGUCCGUGCUAGUGACAAGCUACAGGUGCCAAUCUAUUUUUGCUGUUCUUCCUCAUGUGACUGGCUCUGUUUGUCACCAGCCCCUAGGAGGAAAAAUGGGAGGGGAAUUUAGCCACCCUUUCCAACUUUCCUGUUCGAUUUCUCUUGUACAUAGACACUUGUUUUCCAGAAAGCAGGAAUUCUUCUUUGCUCACCCACAAAGUUUCAUUUCCAGCUGUUGAAUUCCAACUACCUAGAAACAGGGAAUCAUGGUU
Molecule: long non-coding RNA, 354 nt
Filed under: Pogona vitticeps (central bearded dragon)
Lineage: Eukaryota; Metazoa; Chordata; Lepidosauria; Squamata; Agamidae
Description: lncRNA (ENSPVIG00000010931.1)
Source: RNAcentral